GACGAACGCUGGCGGCGUGCUUAACACAUGCAAGUCGAACGGUAAGGCCCUUCGGGGUACACGAGUAGCGAACGGGUGAGUAACACGUGGGUGAUCUGCCCUGCACUUCGGGAUAAGCCUGGGAAACUGGGUCUAAUACCGGAUAGGACUCCUGGCUUCAUGGUUGGGGGUGGAAAGCUUUUGCGGUGUGGGAUGGGCCCGCGGCCUAUCAGCUUGUUGGUGGGGUAAUGGCCUACCAAGGCGACGACGGGUAGCCGGCCUGAGAGGGUGAGCGGUCACACUGGGACUGAGAUAUGGCCCAGAGUCGUACGGGAGGCAGCGGUGGGGAAUAUUGCACAAUGGGCGCAAGCCUGAUGCAGCGACGCCGCGUGAGGGAUGACGGCCUUCGGGUUGUAAACCUCUUUCAGCUAUGACGAAGCGCAAGUGACGGUAGUAGCAGAAGAAGGACCGGCCAACUACGUGCCAGCCGCCGCGGUAA
This 478-nucleotide ribosomal RNA is filed under the name uncultured bacterium. RNAcentral's name for it is "partial 16S ribosomal RNA". It matches the Rfam family "Bacterial small subunit ribosomal RNA", at positions 28 to 523 of the family's 1533-position model. The record is from RNAcentral.